UACAGAGGCCCCAAGCGUUACUGAGAAUCACUGGGUUUAAAGGGUGCGUAGGUGGUCCGUUAAGUCAGUUGUGAAAUCCCCGGGCUCAACCCGGGAACUGCUUCUGAUACUGGCGGACUUGAGGCCGGUAGGGGUCACUGGAACAGACGGUGGAGCGGUGAAAUGCGUAGAUAUCGUCUGGAACGCCGGUGGUGAAGACGGGUGACUGGGCCGGUUCUGACACUGAGGCACGAAAGCGUGGGGAGCAAACGGG
RNAcentral lists this ribosomal RNA (253 nucleotides) under uncultured bacterium. RNAcentral's name for it is "partial 16S ribosomal RNA". It matches the Rfam family "Bacterial small subunit ribosomal RNA", at positions 524 to 776 of the family's 1533-position model. The record is from RNAcentral.